AUGAAGGGUUAUCAUAAUGCUUUGAAGAAAAUAAUUGUGGACGAGUCCCCUUCUGCUUAUUAUGUCCAUUGCUUUGCCCAUCAACUUCAGGUAAAUAUGGUUGCUGUUGCUAAGCAGAAUGUUCAUGGUGGUUGGUUCUUUUAUCACCUUCAAUAUUUGAUGGAUUUUCUUGUGAUGUGCUGUGAAAAGAUAAGAAUGCUUGGAGUAGCUCAAGCUGAGUAUAUCAUCGAAACAUUUGAACUGGAAGAAACUGAAGCUGAAUAUGGUCUUGAUCGAGAGAGCCUGGGAACACCUUGUGAUACUCCUCGGGGAUCCCGCUAUGAAAAUGUGAUGCAUGUUAUCUCUUUAUAUCCUGCAAUUUGGGAAAUUCUCUGUAUGAUUGGGGAUGAGCAUAAUGGCAUAAAAUCACUACGAGCUCAAGAGGUGUCUUAUGCAUUCGAGACAUUUGAGUUUGUCUUUAUAGCACACUUGCUGCAAACUAUAUUUGAGUAUACAGAUGGCUUAUGCAGUGCUUUGCAAAAGAGGGAUCAAGAUAUUGUUAAUGCUAUCGAUCUUGUUAGCGCGACAAAGAAACGGUUGCAGUUACUGCGGGAAGAUGGUGAAUGGGAAAGUUUUCUUCAGAAGGUCACCUCUUUUUGUGUGAAACAUGACAUCGAACUUGUGGACAUGGAUGGUUUGUAUGACCCGAUCGGGAGAUCUCCAAAGUUCUACGAAAAGGCCACGAAUCUUCAUUACUACCACGUUGAUAUGUUUUUGGAUGUAAUUGAUAGUCAACUUCGAGAACUUGAUGGCAUGUUUGAUGAGGUCAACACGGAGUUACUGAUUUGCAUGGCAGCAUUCAAUCCCGCCGACUCAUUUGCUGCUUAUGAUGAGGAAAAGCUGGUUAAGCUUGCCCACUUUUAUCCCGAGGAUUUUUCACAGUCUGAGUUGUUGCAUCUUCCCUUCCAACUUUCAAACUUCGUUGAUGAUCUGUGUCAAGACGAAAGGUUUAGAGAAGUGAAGACUCUUGCGGGGCUUUCUAUCAAGCUUGUUGAAACAAGGAAGGACCGUGUUUAUCACAUUGUCUACAGGCUUCUCAGAUUGGUGCUAAUCCUUCCUGUAGCGACUGCAAGUGAUGAGAGGGACCUGUCUUCAGUGAAUUACGUGAACAAUAAGGCGGUAAACAAGCUAUCGGAGCAAUGCGCGAAUGAUUGCUUGGUUACGUGUCUUGAGCGUGAAACCUUUGAGCAGGUGGACGAUGCCAUCAUAUCUCGCUUCCGAGCUGUGAAUGACCGCUAG
Molecule: ribosomal RNA, 1278 nt
Filed under: Triticum aestivum (bread wheat)
Lineage: Eukaryota; Viridiplantae; Streptophyta; Magnoliopsida; Poales; Poaceae
Description: partial small subunit ribosomal RNA
Source: RNAcentral